This is a long non-coding RNA of Mobula hypostoma (lesser devil ray), 592 nucleotides long. RefSeq lists it as uncharacterized. The transcript is spliced from 3 exons. The record is from RefSeq and is a predicted model, not a curated record. NCBI's taxonomy places the organism in Eukaryota, Metazoa, Chordata, Chondrichthyes, Myliobatiformes, Myliobatidae.
GUUUAAUAAGAGCAUGACUGUGGCAUUAUGGGUCAGAACCAACAUGGAAGCCGAGAAAGACACAUGGGCCUAAAAUAACCUUAUUCUGCAUGUGGUCCAAAAGGCGCACACGGAGCUUUCAAAUAGGCAUGGCCCAGCCUGAGCUUUGUCCCUGUGAGGGUAUCGUGGGAGCACCUGAUGACCCAACUGCCAUCCAACCAUAUUGGUGAAAGUCAGUCUGCGGAGGUCCAACGAGAUAGGCUGUCGGCCCGUAGCCCAGCAAAAGAAACAAAGAGUCUACAUCAAGGAGCAGGCAAUGGUGCUUUGAACUGAAGCCUUGCUGGUACUUCCACCUUGUGUAUGGAGGAAUGAUACUUCUAGUCACUUAAAACUGCACUGAGAUCACCUAACUUGUUGCAGGAAGAUGUUCUUAAGGAAACAACACAGGGACGAGAAGGAAUAUUCAAGCAACAACUUUACAUCAACAACAUUUUUGAUCACAUUGAAUUUCAGAUGAAUUAAUCAUUGGUGUUCUUCUCCGUAUUUCAGGUGAUCUACAAUGUAUACUGUAAUUGCAGAAAGACAUCUUUAAUUUUGUAUUGAAAUACUUUUG